Molecule: non-coding RNA, 45 nt
Filed under: Schistosoma haematobium
Lineage: Eukaryota; Metazoa; Platyhelminthes; Trematoda; Strigeidida; Schistosomatidae
Source: RNAcentral
ACCCAAUAGACGAGUCCCAAAUAGGACUAAUCAUACGUCUUGGAU